RNAcentral lists this long non-coding RNA (574 nucleotides) under Salmo trutta (river trout). Its description in RNAcentral is "lncRNA (ENSSTUG00000020021.1)". The record is from RNAcentral. Lineage: Eukaryota; Metazoa; Chordata; Actinopteri; Salmoniformes; Salmonidae.
GUACUUAGGUCCAUUGAUCUGCAGUGAUGUAUUUUUCCCAUGUUGUCCCACAGCCUCAAGCGAAGACGACAGCGUGGAGUGGACACCCACAGAGAAAAACACAGACACUUUGUCAAUGUUCAAGAAGAAGUCGACAGCGGAGCAGCUGCAGUCAGUGUGGAACGUGGUAGAGAGAGGUCUGGAGGGAGUGAUCAGAGGCUGGACCAGACUACUGCCCUGUGAUGGAUCAGCCAUCUCUGACAUGGUCUUCAUGCAGAAGUUUGCUGGGCCGGCCAUGCAUUCCCCUGCAGGAGGAGGAGAGGGAGAGAGGGUGAAGAGUCCCUCCCCGUCUCGCUCUCUGCUCCCCAUGGACCUGCAUCUGGAACUGCUGUCUGUCCAGCACAGAGUCUCCCUCAAGCUGCUCAACACCUGCCCAGCUGAGCUGCAGCAGCAUGCUGGUGACAGUAGGAGAUCUAUGAGGCCCCCUGGUGGUGUGGAGAUACCUGAGACCAUGGCUAACAGAGCCAGAGGAGGUGAGACUGAGAGCACUCACACAUGGCCCUGCACUCCAUACUUUACAUGGCUGCAUGAGGUU